UUAAGAAUCUUGCGCAAUGGGCGCAAGCCUGACGCAGCGACGCCGCGUGAAGGAUGAAGGCCUUCGGGUCGUAAACUUCGAUAAGCAGGGAAGAAUAAGUUAUGGCUAAUAUCCAUAACGAUGACGGUACCUGCCUAAAGCCCCGGCUAACUACGUGCCAGCAGCCGCGGUAAUACGUAUGGGGCGAGCGUUGUUCGGAUUUAUUGGGCGUAAAGGGCGUGUAGGCGGGGGACUAAGUCAGGUGUGAAAUCCAUGAGCUUAACUCAUGAACUGCACUUGAUACUGGUUCUCUUGAGUUUGGAAGAGGAGAGCGGAAUUCCGGUGUAGCGGUGAAAUGCGUAGAUAUCGGGAGAACACCGAGUGGCGCAGGCGGCUCUCUGGUACCAAAACGUGACGCUG
RNAcentral lists this ribosomal RNA (399 nucleotides) under uncultured bacterium. RNAcentral's name for it is "bacterial SSU rRNA". It matches the Rfam family "Bacterial small subunit ribosomal RNA", at positions 355 to 748 of the family's 1533-position model. The record is from RNAcentral.